This 254-nucleotide ribosomal RNA is filed under the name uncultured prokaryote. Its description in RNAcentral is "partial 16S ribosomal RNA". It matches the Rfam family "Bacterial small subunit ribosomal RNA", at positions 524 to 776 of the family's 1533-position model. The record is from RNAcentral.
UACGGGGGGAGCAAGCGUUGUUCGGAUUUACUGGGCGUAAAGGGCGCGUAGGCGGCCAGCACAAGUCAGUUGUGAAAUCUCCGGGCUUAACUCGGAAAGGUCGACUGAUACUGUGCGGCUAGAGUGCAGAAGGGGCAACUGGAAUUCUCGGUGUAGCGGUGAAAUGCGCAGAUAUCGAGAGGAACACCGGUGGCGAAGGCGGCAUCCUGGACCGGCAUUGACGCUGAGGCGCGAAAGCCAGGGGAGCAAACGGG